UCGUGGUCUCAUCCAAACGGAUUUAUCGCACAGCAUUGAGUUAAAGUGACCACAGAAUAAAGUAAGCAAGUGUCAGAGGCAGAGGAGACACAUCAACCAGCAAGUGUGUAACUUAUCAGGAAAAUGACUGACUGAAUGGAUGACUGUCUAGGUUGCAAGCAGGACAUACAUGUUACAGUUAAGUAUUUCAGCUACAACAUACUAUUAAAUCACA
Danio rerio (zebrafish) is the source of this 214-nucleotide non-coding RNA. The record is from RefSeq and is a predicted model, not a curated record. NCBI's taxonomy places the organism in Eukaryota, Metazoa, Chordata, Actinopteri, Cypriniformes, Danionidae.